Aspergillus glaucus CBS 516.65 is the source of this 72-nucleotide transfer RNA. It matches the Rfam family "tRNA". From Rfam's summary of the family: Transfer RNA (tRNA) molecules are approximately 80 nucleotides in length. Their secondary structure includes four short double-helical elements and three loops (D, anti-codon, and T loops). The record is from Rfam. NCBI's taxonomy places the organism in Eukaryota, Fungi, Ascomycota, Eurotiomycetes, Eurotiales, Aspergillaceae.
GGGCGUGUAACUCAGUGGUAGAGUGCUCGCUUUGCAUGCGAGAAGUCCCGCGUUCAAUCCGCGGCUCGUCCA